UACGGGGGGGGCAAGCGUUGUUCGGAAUUACUGGGCGUAAAGGGCUUGUAGGCGGCCAACUAAGUCCGACGUGAAAUCCCCGGGCUUAACCUGGGAACUGCAUUUGUGACUGCAGGGCUGGAGUGCGGCAGAGGGGGAUGGAAUUCCGCGUGUAGCAGUGAAAUGCGUAGAUAUGCGGAGGAACACCGAUGGCGAAGGCAAUCCCCUGGGCCUGCACUGACGCUCAUGCACGAAAGCGUGGGGAGCAAACAGG
This 253-nucleotide ribosomal RNA is filed under the name uncultured bacterium. RNAcentral describes it as "partial 16S ribosomal RNA". It matches the Rfam family "Bacterial small subunit ribosomal RNA", at positions 524 to 776 of the family's 1533-position model. The record is from RNAcentral.